UGAUUAUGGGUUUCCUGGUGAUAUGUGU
Molecule: non-coding RNA, 28 nt
Filed under: Mus musculus (house mouse)
Lineage: Eukaryota; Metazoa; Chordata; Mammalia; Rodentia; Muridae
Source: RNAcentral